UGGGUUUACUUUGUGCAGAAUAGGUGGGAGGCUAAGAUAAUAUAUUUGAGGAUAUAUAGGAGCCGUCAGUGAGAUACCACUCUAAGUACACUAGGCUUCUAACCUUGAAAGCCGUUAACCGGCCAAGGAACAGUUUCAGGCGGGCAGUUUGACUGGGGCGGUCGCCUCCUAAAAGGUAACGGAGGCGUACAAAGGUUUUCUCAAGCUGGUCAGAAAUCAGUUUUAGAGUAUAAAGGCAAAAGAAAGCUUGACUGCAAGACCUACAAGUCGAGCAGAGACGAAAGUCGGUCUUAGUGAUCCGACAGUUCUGAGUGGAAA
RNAcentral lists this ribosomal RNA (318 nucleotides) under Kappaphycus alvarezii. RNAcentral's name for it is "LSU rRNA". It matches the Rfam family "Bacterial large subunit ribosomal RNA", at positions 2124 to 2439 of the family's 2925-position model. Lineage: Eukaryota; Rhodophyta; Florideophyceae; Gigartinales; Solieriaceae. The record is from RNAcentral.